UUGAAUUUGUUUGCAUCUUCGUCAGCUUAUUCGUUUGCAGACUAGAAAAAUGGCGAACAGCCAUCAAAAUACUGAUUAAAAUUACACAUCUUUCACUGGACACACAAAUGGGUGCGCGCCGCAAAAUUCAGCCCUAAUGGUGAAUGUGUGCGAACGUUCACCGUGGGAAGAGGUAUGGGACGACAGCUGACAUGGCAUCUAGACGGUAAUCUGGUGGCUUUAGCAUUAAGUUGUAACCGCUUUAAGAUAUUUGACAUAGCUGAAGGCGAGCUAAUACAGUGCAUUCGUCGCCGGAGAAUGAUGUUGCAUUUCACCCAAGUGGAAAUUUCUUGGUGACUGGCGGCGAUGACGAUACAAUAAGAUUGCUUGAUUUAUUAGAAGGUCGACCAAUUUAUACACGUUGCUCGUUUGGAAAUCUAAUUUGCAUACAUUUGAUGCCAAUAGCUCUCGCAACAAGCAAGCCAGCUCUCAAAGAGUCCAAAUUGAUUUUAGUCAUGCAACAGCUCCACAUAACUCCGACAUAGACACACACACCAGUUGCUGCAGUACCAAAAAGCUGUGAUGACAGUAUUUUAA
Molecule: long non-coding RNA, 576 nt
Organism: Rhagoletis pomonella (apple maggot)
Lineage: Eukaryota; Metazoa; Arthropoda; Insecta; Diptera; Tephritidae
Exons: 3
Source: RefSeq, a predicted model, not a curated record